AAAAGCCCCACUUUUAUUCCAUAGGCUUGGAACCGCACUGUGCAGCUUUUGCAAGAGCACAUUUUUCACUGGCUGUCCACUGGUUUCAAAAACAUUGAUUGAUAGGCAGCUUAAACUUCUUGAAUUCAACCAUUAUUGGGAUCAAAUACACAUUUAGAUUUGUGAACAGCCAUCCAGAACAACCACAAUCCGUAAGGCGCAAAGCCACAUCACUCGCACAAAAAGAAUUCCACGGAAACCAACAACCACAGAGAUGCUCUGGCCCAACAGAAUACUAACAUCACCAUGCCAACCACAGCUGAUUUGGAGUAAGUGUAGAAGUUGAAGGCACUGCAGGUACUUGCCUGAACUUCUGGGAGGAGAGAAGUACAUUUCCUGCUCUGUGGUGUUGCCUGAUGUCUGCCAUCUCCUUCAGGUGAUGGAGAGCUCCGAUGAUGACCCUGUCUAAAUGAAAUGUUUGGCGAUCGACUAGGAAUGCCUUGGAGAUCGACCAGUCAAUCACGAUCAACUAGGAAUGCCUUGGAGAUCGACCAGUCAAUCACGAUCAACCGGUUGGUGAACACUGCUCUUGAAAGUUGAGUGAAGUUCAAUCUCUGUUGGCUGAUAUUUCUGCGUCUCGGGGCUACUGUACGCAUGUUACUUGUCUCCACAUAAACCUGAU
This 661-nucleotide long non-coding RNA is filed under the name Salmo salar (Atlantic salmon). RNAcentral describes it as "lncRNA (ENSSSAG00000117192.1, ENSSSAG00020064878.1, ENSSSAG00075064875.1)". Lineage: Eukaryota; Metazoa; Chordata; Actinopteri; Salmoniformes; Salmonidae. The record is from RNAcentral.